UUAGGGAAGCCUUACCAUGCAAGGUCGAGCGUGUAGCACAGGGAAGCUUGCUCCUGGGUUACGAGCGCCCUUCGGGGGAGUAAUGUCUGGGAAACUGCCUGAUGGAGGGCGAUAACUACUGGAAACGGUAGCUAAUACCGCAUAACGUCGCAAGACCAAAGAGGGGGACCUUCGGGCCUCUUGCCAUCACAUGUGCCCAGAUGGGAUUAUCUAGUAGGUGGGGUAACGGCUCACCUAGGCGACGAUCCCUAGCUGGUCUGAGAGGAUGACCAGCCACACUGGAACUGAGACACGGUGCAGACUCCUACGGGAGGCAGCAGUGGGGAAUAUUGCACAAUGGGCGCAAGCCUGAUGCAGCCAUGCCGCGUGUAUGAAGAAGGCCUUCGGGUUGUAAAGUACUUUCAGCGGGGAGGAAGGCGUUGAGGUUAAUAACCUCAUCAAUUGACGUUACCCGCAGAAGAAGCACCGGCUAACUCCGUGCCAGCAGCCGCGGUAAUACGGAGGGUGCAAGCGUUAAUCGGAAUUACUGGGCGUAAAGCGCACGCAGGCGGUCUGUCAAGUCCGAUGUGAAAUCCCCGGGCUCAACCUGGGAAAUGCAUUCCAAACGGUAAGCUAUAGUUUUUGUAGACGGGGGUAAAAUUUCCGGUGUAGCGGUGAAAUGCGUAAGAUCUCGGAGGAAUAGCGGUAGCCAAGGAGUCUCCUGUAAAUAAACCGAGCCCCAGUGCCAAAACGUGGGUGCAAAACUGAUUAGAUCCCCUGUAAUCCCC
RNAcentral lists this ribosomal RNA (767 nucleotides) under bacterium. RNAcentral's name for it is "bacterial SSU rRNA". It matches the Rfam family "Bacterial small subunit ribosomal RNA", at positions 36 to 798 of the family's 1533-position model. The record is from RNAcentral.